Molecule: ribosomal RNA, 399 nt
Filed under: Clostridioides difficile
Lineage: Bacteria; Bacillati; Bacillota; Clostridia; Peptostreptococcales; Peptostreptococcaceae
Description: bacterial SSU rRNA
Rfam family: Bacterial small subunit ribosomal RNA
Source: RNAcentral
UUUUAUUUGAGAGUUUGAUCCUGGCUCAGGAUGAACGCUGGCGGCGUGCCUAACACAUGCAAGUUGAGCGAUUUACUUCGGUAAAGAGCGGCGGACGGGUGAGUAACGCGUGGGUAACCUACCCUGUACACACGGAUAACAUAUCGAAAGGUAUGCUAAUACGGGAUAAUAUAUUUGAGAGGCAUCUCUUGAGUAUCAAAGGUGAGCCAGUACAGGAUGGACCCGCGUCUGAUUAGCUAGUUGGUAAGGUAACGGCUUACCAAGGCGACGAUCAGUAGCCGACCUGAGAGGGUGAUCGGCCACAUUGGAACUGAGACAAGGUCCAAACUCCUACGGGAGGCAGCAGUGGGGAAUAUUGCACAAUGGGCGAAAGCCUGAUGCAGCAUCGCCGCGUGAGUG